GAUGAACGCUGGCGGCGUGCCUAAUACAUGCAAGUCGAGCGAACGGACGAGAAGCUUGCUUCUCUGAUGUUAGCGGCGGACGGGUGAGUAACACGUGGAUAACCUACCUAUAAGACUGGGAUAACUUCGGGAAACCGGAGCUAAUACCGGAUAAUAUUUUGAACCGCAUGGUUCAAAAGUGAAAGACGGUCUUGCUGUCACUUAUAGAUGGAUCCGCGCUGCAUUAGCUAGUUGGUAAGGUAACGGCUUACCAAGGCAACGAUGCAUAGCCGACCUGAGAGGGUGAUCGGCCACACUGGAACUGAGACACGGUCCAGACUCCUACGGGAGGCAGCAGUAGGGAAUCUUCCGCAAUGGGCGAAAGCCUGACGGAGCAACGCCGCGUGAGUGAUGAAGGUCUUCGGAUCGUAAAACUCUGUUAUUAGGGAAGAACAUAUGUGUAAGUAACUGUGCACAUCUUGACGGUACCUAAUCAGAAAGCCACGGCUAACUACGUGCCAGCAGCCGCGGUAAUACGUAGGUGGCAAGCGUUAUCCGGAAUUAUUGGGCGUAAAGCGCGCGUAGGCGGUUUUUUAAGUCUGAUGUGAAAGCCCACGGCUCAACCGUGGAGGGUCAUUGGAAACUGGAAAACUUGAGUGCCCAUUAGGAAAGUGGAAUUCCAUGUGUAGCGGUGAAAUGCGCAGAGAUAUGGAGGAACACCAGUGGCGAAGGCGACUUUCUGGUCUGUAACUGACGCUGAUGUGCGAAAGCGUGGGGAUCAAACAGGAUUAGAUACCCUGGUAGUCCACGCCGUAAACGAUGAGUGCUAAGUGUUAGGGGGUUUCCGCCCCUUAGUGCUGCAGCUAACGCAUUAAGCACUCCGCCUGGGGAGUACGACCGCAAGGUUGAAACUCAAAGGAAUUGACGGGGACCCGCACAAGCGGUGGAGCAUGUGGUUUAAUUCGAAGCAACGCGAAGAACCUUACCAAAUCUUGACAUCCUUUGACAACUCUAGAGAUAGAGCCUUCCCCUUCGGGGGGGCAAAGUGACAGGUGGUGCAUGGUUGUCGUCAGCUCGUGUCGUGAGAUGUUGGGUUAAGUCCCGCAACGAGCGCAACCCUUAAGCUUAGUUGCCAUCAUUAAGUUGGGCACUCUAAGUUGACUGCCGGUGACAAACCGGAGGAAGGUGGGGAUGACGUCAAAUCAUCAUGCCCCUUAUGAUUUGGGCUACACACGUGUUACAAUGGACAAUACAAAGGGCAGCGAAACCGCGAGGUCAAGCAAAUCCCAUAAAGUUGUUCUCAGUUCGGAUUGUAGUCUGCAACUCGACUACAUGAAGCUGGAAUCGCUAGUAAUCGUAGAUCAGCAUGCUACGGUGAAUACGUUCCCGGGUCU
Molecule: ribosomal RNA, 1373 nt
Filed under: uncultured bacterium
Lineage: Bacteria
Description: bacterial SSU rRNA
Rfam family: Bacterial small subunit ribosomal RNA
Source: RNAcentral